GUGCGUGUGUUAUUAAAACCCUCGGGCUUGUUUCAGAUGAAUUCUACAUUUUAAGAUUUAUGAAGUUCUAAUGGCCAAUAAAGAUAAACUACGCCAGCGCAUCUUUUGUACUCGCAACUAUCUCGGGAUCUUUGAAAGAGUGCGAUAAUUCAUAAUCCGAUGCAUCCAAGCGUGUAUUGAAUCAAGUGGGCGAUAAUUCGAACAUUUGUUUAUAAUUAAAAUUUGAAAUUAAAUACUAUUAAAUGUUAAUAAAUAUUACUUUAUUUUCCUUUAUUAAUAAACAUCUUGAGCUGUAUCUCAGUUUCCAAAG
Molecule: long non-coding RNA, 310 nt
Organism: Trachymyrmex cornetzi
Lineage: Eukaryota; Metazoa; Arthropoda; Insecta; Hymenoptera; Formicidae
Exons: 3
Source: RefSeq, a predicted model, not a curated record